AAGGGCACCACAAGAACGCGUGGAGCAUGUGGCUUAAUUUGACCCAACGCGGGAAAUCUUACCGGGUCCGGACACACUGAGGAUUGACAGGUUUUAGCGUUGCAGUCUCUUCGGAGACUUAGCGCAAUAAAGAUGCUAGUCCUUUCAUGAUUGUGUGAUAGGUGGUGCAUGGCCGUUCUUAGUUCGUGGAGUGAUCUGUCUGCUUAAUUGCGUUUCACACAAGGCGUUUAACGUGUAUGUUUAUAUAGCUGACGCCACUUCGGUGUUGCUGUCGCUACAUUUGAUACAUAAACUGUCCUUGCAUGCAACGAACGUGACCG
RNAcentral lists this ribosomal RNA (320 nucleotides) under Foraminifera environmental sample. RNAcentral's name for it is "SSU rRNA". It matches the Rfam family "Eukaryotic small subunit ribosomal RNA", at positions 1160 to 1422 of the family's 1831-position model. Lineage: Eukaryota; Foraminifera. The record is from RNAcentral.